GGAGUUGUGGCUCAGUGGAAGAGCCUCUGCUUUGUGUGCAGAAAGUUUGAUGUUCAAUCCUUGGCAUCUCCA
RNAcentral lists this transfer RNA (72 nucleotides) under Sphaerodactylus townsendi. RNAcentral's name for it is "tRNA-Thr". It matches the Rfam family "tRNA". From Rfam's summary of the family: Transfer RNA (tRNA) molecules are approximately 80 nucleotides in length. Their secondary structure includes four short double-helical elements and three loops (D, anti-codon, and T loops). Further hydrogen bonds mediate the characteristic L-shaped molecular structure. tRNAs have two regions of fundamental functional importance: the anti-codon, which is responsible for specific mRNA codon recognition, and the 3' end, to which the tRNAs corresponding amino acid is attached (by aminoacyl-tRNA synthetases). tRNAs cope with the degeneracy of the genetic code in two manners: having more than one tRNA (with a specific anti-codon) for a particular amino acid; and 'wobble' base-pairing, i.e. permitting non-standard base-pairing at the 3rd anti-codon position. The record is from RNAcentral. Lineage: Eukaryota; Metazoa; Chordata; Lepidosauria; Squamata; Sphaerodactylidae.